GGUUUCCAGGCACGGGGAUGGGGAAAUCACAUGAGGAGACGUAUUUGAUAUGGGCGUGGCUUUCGUUUACGUCACACUUGGACGUGGGCGGGGUUGUGUCGGGAUGGGCGUGACUUCUGACGUCACACUUGGAUGUGGGCGGGGUUGGAUGUCCACCGCAGGCUGCAGCGAGCCCUACUUGACUGAGGCACGAGAGCUCAGCUCUGCCUCCCCCUCCCCUUCUCUAUCACCUAGUGGUUGUAAUUAUAUCACCAGGUUCGGCACAUUCGCGAUAGAAAUGCAGCGCUCUCCAACUUCAUUAACAUUUUAUGGUUUUACAACUGUGAAAUUACAAACAAAAAAUACACAUUCUGAUAUAUGACCUGAAAUUAAUUGUGAAUUUUGUUAACUUUAAAUAGUCCUCCUCCCAUUGUCACCUCAAAAUUUUGGGGAGGCACAGCCUCCCCUGACUAGCCGCCACUGCAUGAGGCCAAAUGCCCCAAUAGAGGCCGCUGCCGCUCAUGUCACUGUAAAUUAAAAAUAAUGCGAGCAAGAAGAAAUCCGCCACAAAAUGAAACAAUAAUAAUAUAUAAAUAUUACGAUUGUAAUCACCAGGCGCAUAUGGGUAUAUGCUUAUAAAUAUAUUAUCUACAUAUGAUAAGCUGCUCCUUUACCAUAUGCUACUGAUAACGUCAGGCUAUGACGUGUCUGAAUGGCGAACCUGUAUUUCAAAACCAUCCUCUAAUCUAUUAAACAAACAAAACCUAUACGUCUCACAUCUAAUCGUCAACUUAUCUUUACUAUUUGUGCAUAAUAAGCCAAUAUUUUAUCAGUAAAAUUGCACAACUAAUAGCCCGAAACAAACACGACCAUGCUGACGUUGACAAACGAGCUUUAUGCUCUGAACAAAAAUUAUGCUCAGACAAGUUUACUUAAAAGAAUGAAGAGUCUUUGCAAGUGUUAUUUUCGCGGUAUAGAUGAUCUGAUAUAUGACAUUAAUGCCAGGUAAAGAGAAACUCGCAGUUUGGUGUCUUCCUCACGUGACAUGCUAAAGCUAAUCUGACACACAUUAUAAAGGCAAGUGUAUCGUACUCUCAGGUUUGUGUCUUACCUAGUGCAGGUGUGCGUUUUCACAGAAGAAGACACAUAUGUCACCGUGGCAUGUCAUCGUGUAUUUGAUCCUCAGUCAGUCUCUCACUCAGAUUUGAUCACGUUCGUAUGCUCCACACACCAUAAAAGUAUCUGCUGAGGAAGAGCUAGGGAUCUAUCGCAGAAGUUUCGUUUCG
This is a long non-coding RNA of Cyprinus carpio carpio, 1265 nucleotides long. NCBI's taxonomy places the organism in Eukaryota, Metazoa, Chordata, Actinopteri, Cypriniformes, Cyprinidae. The record is from Ensembl.